AGCAGCCGCGGUAAUUCCAGCUCCAAUAGCGUAUAUUAAAGUUGUUGCAGUUAAAAAGCUCGUAGUUGAAUUUCGGGGUUAGUAGGUCGGUCAUGCCUCAGGUAUGCACUGGUCUCACUGAUUCCUCCUUCCUGAUGAGCCGUAAUGCCAUUAAUUUGGUGUUGCGGGGAAUCUGGACUGUUACUUUGAAAAAAUUAGAGUGUUUAAAGCAGGCUA
Molecule: ribosomal RNA, 216 nt
Filed under: uncultured Glomus
Lineage: Eukaryota; Fungi; Glomeromycota; Glomeromycetes; Glomerales; Glomeraceae
Description: partial small subunit ribosomal RNA
Rfam family: Eukaryotic small subunit ribosomal RNA
Source: RNAcentral